Molecule: ribosomal RNA, 850 nt
Filed under: Gammarus lacustris
Lineage: Eukaryota; Metazoa; Arthropoda; Malacostraca; Amphipoda; Gammaridae
Description: partial 16S ribosomal RNA
Rfam family: Archaeal large subunit ribosomal RNA (bases 383-526)
Source: RNAcentral
AGGGUAAGAAGUUUUAAGUGGCCUACCUUUUGUAUCAGGGGAGUUUAAAAGUUUAAGUAUGGUUAGACCGAAUUAAUCAGAGCCUUGUUGAAAGGUUUAGUGGAAUUUAAUGCUGUAAAAAAUUAUGUGGUGAUAUUUGUACGGUGUUUAUGUUAGCUGAUUGUUUUUAUUUAUGCGGGGUAAGCUUGCAUAAGUUUAAGUAGUGGUCAAGAAUAGAAAAGUUAGGCUUUAUAUUAGCCAUACUGUUAAAUUGUUUCAAGUAAUUUUAAGUAUAUUUGCACAGUAGCUUAAAUUUAGUAGACUAGCCUUAUAAUUUAAGUUAGGGGUAAAUAAUGAGUUCAUUGAAUAUUUAGAGAAAUAUUAAAAUAACUCGUGGUGGGCUGGAAUGUUUAGCAAAAACAUUUCUUUUGGGUUAAUAAAAGGUAGGACCUGCCCAGUGAGUAUUUAACGGCUGCGGUAUUUUGACUGUGCUAAGGUAGCAUAAUCAUUUGUUUCUUAAUUGGUAACUUGAAUGAAGGGUUAAACCGGUUUGUUUGGUUUGUUAUGUUUAGUAAGAAAUUAAAGUCAAGGUAAGAAUUCUUUGAUUUAUUAGGGGACGAUAAGACCCUAGAAGCUUAAAAAUCAGGGUAUUUGUUAGUAUUAAAAUUUAGCUUAUUUUACUGGGGCGGUAAAAGUAUUUAAACUAUUAAAGUGUUGGAGGAUCCUUUAAAUAAAGAAAAAACGGAAAAGUUACUCUAGGGGUAACAGUGCAAUAUUUUUGGAGAGAUCUUAUCGAUAAAUAUGUUUGCAACCUCGAUGUUGAAUUAAAGUGUCUGCAUGAAGCAGCAGGUAUGUCAGAAGGUUUGUUCAA